GAAUUCCCAGCACAUUUCAAGGAUCAGGUGUCCACAUCCGAAAUGAACCCAGCCCUUGGUGUUCAAAAUCACUUUUAGGAGAAGUAGAGCUUUUUCUUUCAUGUAUCUGGACCAGUAGUUCACUUACUCUGGAAGUCAGAGGCCCUAUGGACUGCCCAGCCCAGCUGCUGUGGAAUGUGGCAGAGAAAGAGGGUGAGAGGGCCUGAAUGGCUCCCAUGCCAGGAGUAUUAUGCAAACACGGGAGAAAAAACCAUGCCUCCUCUACUGGUCUACAGGAGCACUUGAAAACCUGCUCAUCUGCAAGCAAUGGGGCUCGACUCUACAUCACAGCAGUGGAUACUGCAUCGCCAUCGAGAACCCAAUGACUGAAGGAGAGGUUCUGUCCUGUGCACUUCCCUGGUCCUGUGUAGUCACUAAGCAUCUGAUGCCUGAUCCAGAAGAACAGAGUGACCACCAGCCCAGACUUGGUCACCAAAAGGACUUUCCUAGACUUGGUCACCAACUUCAACUUUCCGAGUUUCCUAUUAAACAGCCUUGGGCAAGCCCCAUGAACCUCUUGUGCAUAUAUUCUUCAUAUGUAAGGGUUGACAGCAGACCCACCUCACAUGGAUAUUGUGAGGGUUAAAGGGAUAACGUAUGGAAAAUAUUUAACCCAGUGCUGGGC
This 664-nucleotide long non-coding RNA is filed under the name Rhinopithecus bieti (black snub-nosed monkey). RNAcentral's name for it is "lncRNA (ENSRBIG00000046318.1)". The record is from RNAcentral. Lineage: Eukaryota; Metazoa; Chordata; Mammalia; Primates; Cercopithecidae.